This 697-nucleotide ribosomal RNA is filed under the name uncultured bacterium. RNAcentral describes it as "bacterial SSU rRNA". It matches the Rfam family "Bacterial small subunit ribosomal RNA", at positions 9 to 666 of the family's 1533-position model. The record is from RNAcentral.
GAGUUUGAUCCUGGCUCAUAAUGAACGCUGGCGGCGUGCUUAACACAGGCAAGUUGCACGAGAACGUUUCAGCUUGCUGAAACUAGUAAAGUGGCGCACGGGUGAGUAACGCGUGGGUAAUCUACCUCCGAAUUGGGGAUAACAUUGCNAAAGCGAUGCUAAUACCGGAUAACAUCUCAAUAACUCCGGUCUUUGAGAUCAAAGGUGGCCUCUCCAUGGAAGCUACUGUUUGGAGAUGAGCCCGCGUACCAUUAGCUUGUUGGUAGGGUAAUGGCCUACCAAGGCUACGAUGGUUAGCUGGUCUGAGAGGAUGAUCAGCCACACUGGAACUGACACACGGUCCAGACUCCUACGGGAGGCAGCAGUGAGGAAUUUUGCGCAAUGGGGGAAACCCUGACGCAACAACGCCGCGUGAGUGAUGAAGGCUUUAGGGUCCGUAAAGCUCUGUCAAGUGGGAAGAACCCACAUGGUGAUAAUACCCGCCAUGUGCUUGACGGUACCACUUGAAGGAAAGCACCGGCUAACUCCGUGCCAGCAAGCCCGCGGUAAUACGGGGGGUGCAAGCCGUUAUUCGGAAUUAUUUGGGCCGUAAAGAAGCGCGUAGGCGGUCUCUUAAGUCAGGUGUGAAAGCCCGGGGCUCAACCCCGGAAGUGCCCUUGAAACUAAGGGACUUUGAGUAUGGGAAAAGGAAGUGGAA